AGGAUUAUAGUUAACCAUAACAUUUAAUUUGCAUUUAAAAAGUAUUGACUAUCAAUUAAUCUUA
RNAcentral lists this transfer RNA (64 nucleotides) under Dorcadia ioffi. RNAcentral describes it as "tRNA-Ala". The record is from RNAcentral. Lineage: Eukaryota; Metazoa; Arthropoda; Insecta; Siphonaptera; Vermipsyllidae.